RNAcentral lists this long non-coding RNA (1042 nucleotides) under Anas platyrhynchos platyrhynchos (common mallard). RNAcentral describes it as "lncRNA (ENSAPLG00000016461.1)". Lineage: Eukaryota; Metazoa; Chordata; Aves; Anseriformes; Anatidae. The record is from RNAcentral.
GCCUUUCCUGGAAUCCAGUGUUUUGUUGUAAGCUGUCUUGGCUCCAACAACAGCAGCUUCGAAGAAUUCAGUGACGACAUAGUGUUACUGAUCAGACAGAUCCUGGACCAGAGCCACAGUGGAAAUCAUGUGCUUGGCAAGCAUACUCCCUAGGCUUUGCUCCACGUGAUCCCAAGUGGACCAACUCAGAGGUAUUUGACCUGCUUGGAGUCUGUGGAAAACUUCUAUCAAAAACACCGUGGGAAGUCAAGGAAUGAAUUCUUCUGUUGUGUCACGUCUUUGCAAAUGGAUCUCAAGUAGCGCAGCAUUGGGUUAAGAAUCCUACCUCCAUGAAACCCAAUGGUAAAAAUGAAUGUUCCAGUUCUGACUGCCAAGGCCCUAACUUGUCCAAGCUUGAAACAUGAAGUGCUCCUUCCCUUCUACCGCAUCUGUACCCAUUGCACCUGAUUCUUACCUGAUGUUUGCCUAGGAUAUUCUCAUGUCAUAAUGAUGUGGUGGUAAUAAGAAAAUAAUUCAGUCUGAGAAUGAAAAUCAAUCCUUUAUUUAUUCUAAACAGAAAUUAUGCAGUAAUGUCAACUGAGACAGGGUCCAUGCACUCCCCAUCCCCCUUACGUAUCGACCCUGGCCAUUAAGUGACAUUGUGUCACACGUUGUACAAGUGAAUUUUAGCUUCAGAUAUGGAAAUCACCUGAUGUUACUCAAGACAUCGGACUUCAUUCCUUGUCAUAGCAACAGGUCACAGCUGCUAUCCAGCAAAUCCAAGGACACAAUGUGCACAUUGGUUUCAGGACAGCCAUUGAUGGGUUUCCCCUGGUUUAGUCAAAGAUGUGCUUCUUCACCACCCAGAAACACAUCAUCCAGCACAAAAGUGAUGUGCAUACUUCAAGAGGGAAACAACGCUUCUGGCUCAGGAAGUCAGUGUGCAUCUGAAUUGCCACUGAAGCACCACUGCCGUGCCCAGACACAUGCUUCCUGCUCAGUUGCUUGCAAAGACUACAAAAAUGCAGAGGCUGUGGUGACGGGUGUGGUGACAGUUCUGUAG